CAUUCUACUUUCCGUCUCUAUGAAUUUGACUACUCGAAGUACCUCAUGUGAAAUGUUGGUGCCAAAUGAACUUUUCUGGUUCUUCUGAAUAUGCCACUGUUGCUGGAGAAAUGUCACUGCUAGAGAACAGAAGACUAUUAUUCCAAAGGGUAUUUGAGACUGACUGAAUCAGGUCUGGAACAUUAUUGAAAUGAGACCCACAAAAGAAGAGAUACUGAGUGUAACUGGAUCUUGGUUCAUGCUGAGCUUAAAAUUUGAUCUUCUGAAUAUCAGCAGAAAGACUCUUUCUGGUGAAUACAGAUCUUCUGAGCAAUUAUCGACUGACUUUGUCAUUAGACUGCCCUUUCAGAAGUUGUCAGUGACAUGAAUCUUUGCUCCCUUCUUCAUGGAAUAUUUCUGAUCUAAUAGCCCCUAUAUUUCAAAAGAUGGAUAUAAACAUCAGAUGAAUAUCACAGGAAAGCUGGAUUGCUCUGCAGUGAGUGAAACGUGGAAAGGCCUUUCCCCACCAAGCAGUAGGCCAAAUUGUAACAGUAAGAUGUAUUUGAAAUAAAAUGGUUCAUAGAUCA
Molecule: long non-coding RNA, 566 nt
Filed under: Homo sapiens (human)
Lineage: Eukaryota; Metazoa; Chordata; Mammalia; Primates; Hominidae
Description: STXBP5 antisense RNA 1
Source: RNAcentral